GCUUGCUUCGGCAAUGCAUAUAAUAAAAUUGGAACAGUACAAAGAAGAUUAGCAUGGUUCCUGAGCAAGUGUGUAGUCCAAAGUCUUGAAGCAUUCCAUAUUUUU
Nannospalax galili (Upper Galilee mountains blind mole rat) is the source of this 105-nucleotide small nuclear RNA. The record is from Ensembl. NCBI's taxonomy places the organism in Eukaryota, Metazoa, Chordata, Mammalia, Rodentia, Spalacidae.